AGAGCUGCUCUGUGCCCACACA
This 22-nucleotide microRNA is filed under the name Mus musculus (house mouse). Its description in RNAcentral is "mmu-miR-6998-3p". The record is from miRBase by way of RNAcentral. Lineage: Eukaryota; Metazoa; Chordata; Mammalia; Rodentia; Muridae.